UACGUAGGCAGCGAGCGUUGUUCGGAAUUACUGGGCGUAAAGAGUGUGUAGGCGGUGCUCUAAGUUCGGUGUGAAAUCUCCUGGCUCAACUGGGAGGGUGCGCCGGAAACUGGAGUGCUUGAGCGUGGGAGAGGAAAGCGGAAUUCCUGGUGUAGCGGUGAAAUGCGUAGAUACCAGGAGGAACACCAAUAGCGAAGGCAGCUCGCUGGGACGUACUGACACUGAGAUGCGAAAGCGUGGGGAGCAAACAGG
Molecule: ribosomal RNA, 252 nt
Filed under: uncultured bacterium
Lineage: Bacteria
Description: partial 16S ribosomal RNA
Rfam family: Bacterial small subunit ribosomal RNA
Source: RNAcentral